GCAAACUUUAGACACAAGUAACCGACUAUUGUAAUUGUUUUUCCUUGCUUGGCUUCAAAAUGGACACCCACAAUUAAUUAGUAUAUUGCUAAGAGGUAUCAUCUGCCAUAGAUGAAUGCAAUACCACCUCAGAAGGUAUAUCAGCAUCUGGCUCAGGAUUACACAGACACAAGGCCCUUAACACAUCCUCUAGGCUGUGAUAAAAGUAUUUUAUGCUUAAAAAUGGACACUUCAGACCCCUAAAAGCACUUUAGCUUGUUGAAGUGCUUCAUGAGUCAAUAUUGUGUCCUCUUUUAUUUUACAAAACGUGCAGAUUUUAGUAGAAAUUGGCAAUUUUAUAAACGAACCUUGUUACAACCCCUGGAUGUCAAUCAAAUUACCUUCCUGGUUUGGUUAGCUCAGUGGAGUUAAACUCAAGAGGCAGCAAAGACUUUGCCCUGCAAAGUCUUCUCAUUGAGCUGCAUUGGGAAGUCUGUGAUUGGACAGCCACAGAAAGUCUGGGCAGGGUUAUAAGAGGAGGGUUUGCAAAUGCUGAAACAGAUCUGCAGCUUUUGCAAGCUGUUUUUAGAUAUACUUCAAUACAAAAGUGCAUAAUUAAAUGCAUACAUGGUUUUAUUGGGGGCUAUAUCUACUAACCAGUGAUUAUUAAAAAAAAAAAAAAAUGCCCCUUUAACCAUGUUCAUCAUCCAAAAAAAUGCCUUAUAUAAUUUGUUACAGAAAUUACCUGUCUAAACUGUCUAAAGCCCACCCCAAAGUUUUGAUGCAUGCAAGGAAAUUGGGCUUCUUAAAAUUGAGAGCCAUUUUAUCUCCUAUUAAGCCUGACAACAUUGGUAUAGACUUUUAGUACACCUAAAUGGUACAUGUUUUCAGCCUGUCUCCAAAUAUUUAAAUACAAAAAUAUAAGAAAGCAUGUUUGUAUCGAUACCUGAGCUAUAGAUUUA
This is a non-coding RNA of Pelobates cultripes (western spadefoot toad), 941 nucleotides long. The record is from the annotation of a GenBank genome assembly. NCBI's taxonomy places the organism in Eukaryota, Metazoa, Chordata, Amphibia, Anura, Pelobatidae.